Molecule: long non-coding RNA, 396 nt
Organism: Osmerus eperlanus (European smelt)
Lineage: Eukaryota; Metazoa; Chordata; Actinopteri; Osmeriformes; Osmeridae
Exons: 3
Source: RefSeq, a predicted model, not a curated record
AUUCAGCUGUACCAUCUUGGGCAAAGACCAUUCAAGACACAUUACAGGUUAUGCUCCGGAAGAUGGAGACAUUGGAGGAGAACCAGCGAGAGGCUCUCCUAUUCAGGCGACUACAGGGCAGACACACUGAAGAGGUGCCAGUGAUGGACCUACAGGUGGCCCAAACACAGGCUGACCUCCAAGACCUUGAGGAGCGCCUUAAGGUGCUGGAGUUCCGAAAGAGAGUGACGCUGUGAUGAAGUGGAAGACGGGACUGGGAGAGAAGGCUGUGGAGCUCCUCAUAGCAGAGACACUCACGCCCCGAAUCAUGAUUGCAGCUUCCAUAUCCAACCUUUCACAUGGCUAUGUGACAAAAAACUAGAAUCCCAUAAUAUUUUUUUGAUGAUGUAUAUUAUU